ACCCCAUGAUAUUAAGCCGGCAGACGCAUGUAUUUUAACCAGCUGCGUCUGUGACUAUGACUGGGAACAGUAACGCUGCUGAUGUGUGUAUGUUGGAGUUGCGCCUUGCUUGUGUAUCCGACAAAGUUAUUUUCAGACCACA
RNAcentral lists this small nucleolar RNA (142 nucleotides) under Drosophila virilis. RNAcentral's name for it is "small nucleolar RNA snoR639/H1". It matches the Rfam family "Small nucleolar RNA snoR639/H1". Rfam says of the family: snoR639 or snoH1 belongs to the H/ACA class of snoRNAs which are thought to guide the sites of modification of uridines to pseudouridines. snoH1 is found in an intron of the mfl gene in Drosophila. Lineage: Eukaryota; Metazoa; Arthropoda; Insecta; Diptera; Drosophilidae. RNAcentral also lists the same sequence under 1 other name. The record is from Rfam by way of RNAcentral.